GAGACGGUGACGUUAAGCAAAUCCCAGAAAUAAGUCCCAGUUCGGAUUGUAGUCUGCAACCCGACUACAUGAAGCUGGAAUCGCUAGUAAUCGCGAAUCAGAAUGUCGCGGUGAAUACGUUCCCGGGUCUUGUACACACCGCCCGUCACACCAUGGGAGUCGGAAAUGCCCGAAGUCAGUGACCCAACCGUAAGGAGGGAGCUGCCGAAGGUGGAGCCGGUAACUGGGGUGAAGUCGUAACAAGGUACC
RNAcentral lists this ribosomal RNA (249 nucleotides) under uncultured bacterium. RNAcentral's name for it is "partial 16S ribosomal RNA". It matches the Rfam family "Bacterial small subunit ribosomal RNA", at positions 1251 to 1500 of the family's 1533-position model. The record is from RNAcentral.